RNAcentral lists this long non-coding RNA (12007 nucleotides) under Homo sapiens (human). RNAcentral describes it as "long non-coding RNA NONHSAT155931.1". The record is from RNAcentral. Lineage: Eukaryota; Metazoa; Chordata; Mammalia; Primates; Hominidae.
CGGGAAAGGGCGGCGCUGGGCCCGCGGCUGUUUUGCAGGGAGGGCCGCGGCGGCCUCGGGAGUCCCUCUCCCAGGCAGUUUCCUCUUUUGCAGAACAAGGUAAUGACGCCCACCUAGAGUCCCAGUCUGUGAGUCCUGGUGGGUGCCAGGGCCCCCGGCACAGCACCCUUCGCACGGGAGCGCCCGGCUGUCACAGGGGCCGAAUCUCACGAGCUCGGUCACUUAGGACAAUGUAGACGCCCUUUCUGGGAGGCCGGGGCUCAGUUCAGAGAGGUCGAGGUGGCGCGGUGCAGCGGUGCUCUCCUGCAGGAACAGGCGAGUCACCCAGAGUUUACUGAAUACCGCCCCCCCCCCCCCCCCCGCCCUCCGUGUGAAACUCUGCGCUGCCCAUUGUGCAGCUGGGAACACUGAGCCCCAGGCGACAUAACUUGCUCCUCCAGGCAAUACACAGUGAAUGGGAGAACCCCUUCACAGAGCUGAAUGAUGCAGUCCUGGCCCUUGUCAGACUCACGGGAGGAGGGUGUUAGUGCAGGGAGCAGGGACUGUAGAAUUAAAGAAAUGUGGACAUGGCUGACAGAGAGGAGUCCCAUCAGCUGAACUGAGCACCUAGGUGCCUGAACCCCAGUCCAAGCCCCCAGUUUCUUUCCCCUAGACCUGGUCCUGCCCUUAGCCUCACUGGCCCCAUCUGUAAAAUGGGCAGAGGGUUCCAGCCUCCCGGUUUCCUCCCUAGGCCCACAGCUGCCCAACCUGGUUCCCCCUCUUGCCCCCACCUUGCCUAAACGUCCUUCCAAAGGUUCAUUCAUCCCACAAGCCUUUAUUGAUUUUCUCCUACAUGCUAGACAGGGUGCUGGAGUGCUAGACGCUGGAGGGGGCCUUCCCAGUCUGGUGGGGGAGGCAGAUGUGCAAGUAAGAAUAAGCCUGGACAGGCAGAGUGUGAUAGAGCUAGGAUGUCAAGAUGGACCUUUUCGAUCCUGGGUGACAGCCAGGUCUUAAUGACCCUGCUGCCAGGGACCUGCCAUCCACUCCUGGCUGCCCGUGUCCAAGAUGUCCCCCCAGUGCCCCUGCCCCACCCCAGCUGGGCCCAAAACAUUCCCCAUGAUGAAUCAGCAGGAAAGAAUGCUCCCAGCCUCGGGUCAGUGGCAGCAGCCCAGCUCCUCCCCCAGGGACAAUGAGGCAGCUGUGGGCUUGGGUGCCAGGUAUGCCUAAGCCCUCUCCUAGGGCCCAGCCACCUCUCAUGCUGAGCCAGAAGCAACACAGAGGGUUCGGAAACGUGGGCUCUGCCUGCUGCCAAUCACUCACCAGGCCUGGCUGCCCAGAACUAAAAAUACCCUGGAGCGCAGGGGCGGGCGGAGGAUAGAGACCAGGGAAUGAAUGGAUGUUGCCCGGAAGUCCUUUAAUUUGCACAACUCUGGGCAGAGGCCAAGGCUGGGAAGCAGUGGAAGUGGGGAUCUCUAAGGCAUGCGCUGUGAGCCCCCAACCCUGAGAAGUGAGGGGCUCUGGUCCCAGCCCCAGCCCAUGGCGUACUAACAGUGGGAUUUUCUCGGCUGAGUUGUCAUCUCCUCAUCCUUAAAUGUGAUUGCUGUAGGGGUCAGAUGGGACCACUGGAUUCAUCUCAAUCAGCUUUCAUUUGAUUGAGAAAGCCCUCUUCUUCCCUCCUGCCUGGCUAUGUUCACCCGGCCUCAGCCCAGCGCCUGUGACCCUCUCCAUACUCUUUAUAUAAUGGUCUGUGUCUGCCUUAACUCUGGACACCCCCACCCACCCCCGAGCUUCUUAUUUAUCUCUAAACCCAGAUCCUGUCACAGAGCUUGACACAUAGCAAGUGCUCCAGAAGUGCUCACGGAUUGAAUAAAUGGACCUAGCGGUGCGUGCCAGUUUCUGGUCCCCAAGGUGAUACAGACAAGCCAGAGGUGCUUCCUAUCUUGUCCUCAAGGAAUUUGCAGAGUGGUGGGGGAGACAGAGCCACAAUCAACCAGCAGGACAAGGCAUCAUCACCAUUAUCAUCAUCAUGGCUGGCUGGGGUCGAAAAACCGGUGGACAAUGCUUUCAUCAUCUCCUGUUUACACAAUGAAACUGGGACACAAAGGGGUUAAGUGACUUGGCCAACAUCACACAGCUGUUAUCUGCAGAUGGGAGCAAGUGAUCAAUGACGGCGAAAGCACAGGGCUGUGUGGAUGCUGGGCAGGGAAGUCUGAGGGUUGAAGCCUUCCCAGAAGUGCCUUGGAAGGUGGAUCUGAUACACUGGGUAGAGAGGGGGGAAAGUGGAGUGGUCAGGAAUAACACUUUACGAUGUUGUGGAAGCCGUGAAGCACCAUGCAGGUGUCUGGAGUUACCGCAGCUCCCCUGAUCCCUCAGCCAGUACCCAGGGACUUGGAUGUGUAAGCAUCACCUCUCCCUGCCUCCUCCCAGGGAAAGGAGCUAACAUGAAUCUCUUCCCCAUGGGGUGCUUCUCAACCCUCCCUUCCUGCCUAAGUCAGGGUCUGUACUUUCCUCCCAAGUGGGAAGGCCAGAAUCUCCUGCAGAAAGCGGUGGCCUCCAGGGUGCACCUGGUUGAACCCAGUAGUGACCCUGGUGGAGUGCCCAGUGCCCAUGCCUGCUGGCAAACUUCCUCCUCAGCAGCCUUCAGGACUCAGUUCUAGCCUCAUCUCCUCUGUGACUCAGUAUGGAGGAAACUGUACAGCUUUAAAACUGGGCAACCUGAGUUCUAGCUCUGCUUCUGAAUUGUGUGGCCUCGGGUAAGUUAUUUUGCUGUGCCUAAGGUACUGCCUCCUGCAUCUAUUUGUCCUGCCGUUGCAUUCCUGCCUCCUCUAACACUCAGUGCUGUGGCAACAGCCCCCAAACUGCUCUCAGUUUUUCCCUGCAUCUCACUGUUCCUGACGUCAGUCUUUCUAAAGUGUUGUCUUGCUCUAGCUCAAGAAUCUUUAAUUGCUCACUACUGCCCACAGGAGAGAAGGAAUCUCCAGUUGCCUCUACUCACUUCAUUUUCCAUAUUCUACCUACCCUUCAGGCCUAACUCCGAUUCCAACUCCUCCGUGAUAUCUCCCAUGAAAACUUGCAUGAAUGCUCUCAAAGUAGAAGGUGCUGGAAGAGUCACAGAGCCAAACCAGACACAGUGUUUGCCCUCAAGGAGCUCACUGUCUAGUGAGAGAGAUGACUCAAAGACAUAGCUUGAUGGAACGUAGAUUGUAAUAACAGAAAGUAGGACAAAUGGGGAGAACAAGCCAUUUUGGCCAAGGACAGGCUCCUCCUUUGUUGAGAGCUGUUUAUCCAGAAACAGGGCUUUUGUUCAGGGAGAGGAUGGGAGCUGAGAGGGUUUUGUAAGAUCAUGAAGUUGGGGAAGUGGGGAGGGUGGAUCUAGGAAGCCUGGAGGGGCUAGUCAAGGAUACGGUUUCUAGGGAGAAAGGAGAGAUGAGCUGGUUGCAGUAAGGAGAGGAAAUUUGGCGGAAGAGCAGAGCUGGUUAAAAAGAAAUUCUAGGAAGUUUGGGUUUGUGAUAGGCAAAGUCACCCUCUCCCCUGUUCUGUGAAAGCUUCAGAAACCCCGCAUAAGUCAAUCAAGUUUGGAGCUGGACAGGCCCACCCCAGCAUUUGCAGGGCCCAGGGCAAGACUCAAGGGAGGCCUUAUGCCAUGAGUCAAGUAUUUUAAAGCCAUCAACCAAAUGAAUCCAUUGUUAAGUCAAUCAUGGUCUAGCCUCCCACCUUGACAAAUAUACCUUUGGAAAGACCUGGAAGGUCAGGUUUGCAUUCACAACUUUCCACUCCUCGGAGUUCUGUAUGGAACACGCUAUGACAAGAGUGUCUGCCUCUGGCCUUGCACCCUGGUGUGUCCGUCCGCACCAUAUUCUGCCCAUCCCACACAGCAAGGGGCCUUCUGCUGUGACAGACAUGCAACACCGUCGGCUCUGUGCAGACCUCCCACAGACAGCUGUCCUGUGGCUGCCCCAUGCCUGGGUGCACACUCUGGCACAGGCACAGGCUGCACUCAAGAGGAAGGUCUAGAAGUGGGCUCUGGCCUCCUGGGCAAAGAAUUCCAAGAGCAUGGGUUUGAAAAUCGAGUGGAAGUUCCUCCUUGCCCUGUGACGGGGGGUGGGGCGUGGAGGGAGUGUAAUUGACAAGGGCCACGGUGAUGCCCUCUGUAGCAGGAGGACCAGAGCAGGGACCCUUGCCCAGGUCUAAGGGCAGCAUGGAAGUGGGAUUGUGUGUAUGUGUGUAUGGGGCGGGGAGAGGAUGUGACGUGAAGGUGGGAAUGUGGCUCAGAGGUGGGCCCUGGGGGAGAGUGAGGGGGCUACUCAGUCACUGAGCCUCCUUAGGGUCACACACAAUGCUCCAUGGCUGAAAGAGAGGAGAGGAUGCCCCCAGUGCGGCGAGUGGGCGAGGCGGGAGAGGAAGGCAGAGGCAUUUGGUCUGGGCUCAGGUCGAAGAUGCUGGCAGGGAGAGGGUUGAAGGGGGAGCAGCCCAGCCAGGUUACCUUUAGAGAGCUGCGAGCCACCUGAGCAAGGGCCUUAGCUUGGCAGGUAGGAGGGGCCGCUGCAGCUUUCCGAAAGGGUUGGGGUAGGAGUGGGAUUUGGUUAGAGUUGGGCUACAGGAAUCUUAAUCUUGCCAGGUACUGUCCUGAGCUGGUUUAACGCUUCACAGUCAUAACUUUUUGUAGGAGGUGGGGGGGACAGGAACUGAUAAGGGUGUUGGGGUGAGGGGACAGGAAGGAGUUUAAUAAGCUCUAAGCUACUGAAAGGCAGAGAAUAGGACUCAGAUUCCCCACUUCCACCUCCAGGAAUGCCAGCACAAAUGCCCUGAAUUCCCAGAGAAGUUUGGACUUUGUAAGAUCAAUCGCUCAACACACAUUUCUUCCCCAGAGUCUCUUCCUGCCCCUCAGGAAGACACAUGAUGUCACCCCAUUUCUCAUAUGUAACUCCUCCUUGCCUGGGGAAGCUCAGUGUCCUGGCUUUCCUCUCCCCCUCCUCCUCCUCCUCUUCCUCUCUCCUCUCAGGACCUCUUCCUGCCCUGCUGCCUUCCCCACCUUCUCCCCUCUCCGUCCUGGCCACACACCCUUUCUAAACUCACCUCCAACCACUCUCCAGUUCUCUUAAGAAUAUAUCUCCCCCUGCCAAUUUCCCUCUUCCCCCUGCACCCCCAGUGCCACCUGCAGAACCCCGCUUUCCCUGUCUCAGCAGCUGGACACAGGCGCAGCGCCUGGAUGUGCUUCUAUUCAGGUAAAUUAAAGUCAUAAGUUCUGGGGGGAAAUGAGGCGGAAUGAAGACUCAGUGCCACAGCCACACAGCCCCGGAGGUCCCUUCGGGAGCUCAUGCAAGUCUGCACCAACCUUCUCACUUGCCAGUAAUUGAACCCCUUUUUCCUUAAGCAACACCAGACAAGUUAAAUUAAAAGACAUUUCUUAUUCUAUGCUGUUUUCCUGGGUCCUUUAAAGCCACUGGUGUAGUAACUGUGUUGCAUCUCCCAUGGUGGAUGAGGUCAACAGGCCUUAGUGGGCUAGCCUGGGAACUUCCCAGGCUACAAUGUUCUCUUCGCAGGAGAACAAUGUUCUUCCUAGCCCAGGGUUUUGCUUCUUCUUGGCCCCUUUGGGAAGAUCACUGACUAUUUGAGGGCAUAGCCAAACUGAAUGCUUAAGUGUUAGGAGCCACUCCCAACCCUAAAUCCACUAUUUGUGAAUUAUGUCUGGAAUUAAUUGAUAUUCCAUGGGAAAUAAUUUCAGGAACAGAGGUAUUGAUUAAAGAGAGGUACACGUGAACUUAACACAGAUAUCUUCAGUCUUGUAUCAUCUUAGUUUUUCUUUUCUUUUUCUUUUUCUUUUUUUUUUUUUUUUUUUUUUAGAUGAAGUCUUGCUCUGUCACCCAGGCUGGAGUGCGGUGGUGUGAUCUUGGCUUACUGCAAACUUCCCCUCCCAGGUUCAAGCGAUUCUCCUGCUGCAGCCUCCUUGGGUAGCUGGGAUUACAGGUCUAUGCCACUGUGUCCGGCUAAUUUUUGUAUUAUUAGUAGAGAUGGGUUUUCACCAUGUUGGCCAGGCUGGUCUUGAACUCCUGAUAUCAAGUGAUCUGCCCUCCUCGACCUCCCAAAGUGCUGGGAUUACAGGUGUGAGCCACUAUGCCUGACCCGGUCUUGUAUUAUCUUGCAUUUUGGUUUGUUGAUGUAGAGCUUUGUAAACAUUUCAAAGACUCUUUGUUAGGAAUUGGUUUUAUCUACCAGCCAGAAUGUAUGAUCAUUCAAGACUGGGACUGACAGAUUCCAAAGGUUAAUUUUCAUGUAACCAGCUCAUCUUUAGCUUCCAGGAACCGCGAAGGGAUAGACAAGAGCUGUCCUGGUGGGGAAUUCCCUUGACCUGACUUGGAGGGGCAGAGAGGCAGGGGACCUGACACAGAGGUCAAGGGAGAUCCCUGGAUCAAGCAGGACCUAAGCCAAGACCAGAGCCAGAGAGCCAGGAGCGAGAUGUAGAGCCAUUGGCAUCAAAGUGUUAUCAAAGUCCAAGCAAGAAGUCAGGACUGAGGGUGGAAAGGAGAAGGACAAGCCCUGUCAGAAGCCAGGGCUCAGUCUGAUGAACCUGUUCAGAUGCCACCAGACAGAGCAGGAGGGCAGCAGAGCAACCCCCACUUCUAGUCCAGCGGCUCUUUGAGUGUGGUUCUGGAUCAGCACCAUCAGCAUGGCCCAGGACUGUGUUUGAAACGCCAAUUCUUAGGCCCCACUGCAGAGCCACUGAAUCAGAAACCUGGUGGCGAUGGGGCCCAGCAUCUGUGUUCUAACACAUCCUCCAGAUAAUUCUAAUGCCUGCUAUCAUCUGAGAACCUCUUUUCUAGACCACACCUUUGGACAAUGUUUGGUCUGACAGAGUCUGGAGCCCUGCAGGUGCAAUUAUCCUUGGAGUCCCAGACCUGUCUGGCAGGCAGGGGCCCUCUUGCAUUCUGAGGAACCUCUUCCACAGAUGUCAGGCUGAGUUUUGGGGAAGCACAGUUUUUGGGAAGCACGGCCUUCUACAUCUCAGUUAUUUCCAAAUGGGUUCCAACCUCUUCAUGUGGAGUGGGAGAGCCAUGUUCUGCUUAGAGUUCUAUAAGGACCUCCAUUUCCCCAAGGAGCCCAUCAUUGUGGUGGUGGGAAUUCCUCUUGUUGUCUUCAGGGGGCCCUACCUUUGCUGGGUCAGGAAGGGGAGGUCAGGCCAACAUCUAGAUUCUGACAGAAUCUUCCUGCAUGACGGGAAUUUCAACAUCUAUUCAACAACACAAAAGUCAGUGCCACUGUGAACAUCAGACUGAAGUCUGAGAUCUUCCCGGAGACCAGCUGGCCAAAAGAUGUCAUUGAUGCCUAGCUCUGGGCAGGCAGAAGAGACCCGGAGCCUGUUACAAACGCCUUCUCCUUCUUCUUGGAGUUGGUUCUGGCUUUCAUAAUUCACAGUGGAUCCAGAGUUGCAGAGAUAAUUCUUAGUCUUGGGCCAUUCUGGAUAUAUCAUUCUUCCUCAUAGACCAUUCUGGAUACGUCUUUGUGGCCAAAAAAGAGUUAAAUAGCUGCAAGGUUGUUGAUUUGUUUACAAAAAAGAAGAAGAAGAAGAAGAAGAAGAAGAAGAAGAAGAAGAAGAAGAACAAGAAGAAGAAGAAGAAGAAGAAGAAGAAAGGAGAAGAAAAAGAGGAAGAGGAAGAAGAGGAAGAGGAGGAAAAGGAAGAAGAAGAAGAAGAAGAAGAAGAAGAAGAAGAAGAAGAAGAAGAAGAAGAAGAAGAAGAAGAAAACUGCUCAGAAAGGACAAGAAAAGCUUCAUUUCCUAGCCAUUAACUGAAAACCACCUUUCUUAGGACAGGUUGACCUCUAAAGUGUUGACUGAUCCAUCCAGAAAAAAAUGUAGAUAAAUGAUGUCUCUUUUUAGCAUUUCAUACCAAUAAACAAGGUGGGAAAGAAGGAAUUUCACCAAGAUAUCAGCAGAAACAUAACUUUGGAGGAGAAAUAAUUUCCUCUUCAUUACCAGUUAAUGAAAACAAGCUUCUGCCCACCAGCACUCUGAAUUGCUGUCACUGUGGUGAGGUGGUGUGACAGGAACUUGGGGUAACGCCUUAGGCCUCUGGCAAGGAUUCUUACAUCAGAGCUAAUAGGUGAAUGUGUCUCAUUCAAGGUGGGUGCUGCUCUGUGCUAAGUCUUGGGCAUGGAGCCAUUGUAUCUGUACAGAAAACACUUGACUAGGCACCAUGGGGACACCAAGAGAGAAAGACCCGGAUCCUGCCCUCGGUUUAAGUCAUGGAUUAUGUUCAUAUCACUAUAUGAAUUACAUAAACCAGUGAAAUCUAUUUGUAUAGAUGAGAUCAUUCAUUCGCUUAUUCAUUCAGCACAUAUUUAUGGAGCACCCAUGAUUUAUGUAGCCACUUUGGGGGUCCAGAAAAGUCAACAUAACCCAAGUUUCCCAGGCUCCAGGACAGUGCUGGGGUCACACUAAUGAUAAUGGCCAUACUUUCUGGUUCUUCUCUCUACUAUUCAGUGAGCGCUUCUAGCACCAUGCCCCCCACCCACUGCUCCAGUCAAAUUCUCACUCAGUUUGCAUCUAGGAGUUUUCAAGCGUGGCCAGCAUGUACUCAUAAAGCAGGCUGUAAGCCACGGUUAGAUUGCAGCAUCUUCCAUAAUCUUCCCACCCAGCUUUGCACCCUCCCCUCCCCAACCCUUGAUGUUCAUUACCUAAGAAGCUUUGUAAAAAAACUUUUCAAGUAUUUGUGGCUAGUGCCCACUGCAAAAAUUGCUGCUGUCCACGCCAGGGGGUUAGCAGCUCCUAAAGCUGCCACCUCUCAAGGCACAGAACAGUGCUACCUUUCCUCUGUAAUGAGGAAAAUGCCUGACUCCACCCUGUUCUACAGUGUGCCAUCUGUACUCUAUUCUGUUCCAUUGGCCUACAGUCUGUUUCUUCACCAGUAUCACACCAUGUUGGUUAUUAUAGUUCCAUGUAAGUCUUACAUCAGAAUGUGUGAGUCCUCCAACUUGAUUCUUUUUCAAAAUUGCUUUGUUUAUUCUAGCUCCUUUGCCUUUCCAUAUAUAUUUUAUUUGUUUAUUUAUUUAUUUUUAAGACAAAGUCUCACUCUGUCACCCAGGCUAGAGUGCAAUGGUGCAACCUUGGCUCACUGCAACCUCUGCCUCCUGAGUUCAAGCAAUUCUCCUGCCUCAGCCUCCCGAGUAGCUGGGGCAACAGGUGUGUGCCACCACACCCAAGUAGUUUUUGUAUUUUUAGUAGAGAUGGGGUUUUGCCAUGUUGGCCAGGCUGGUCCUGAACUCUUGACCUGAAGUGUUCCGCUCACCUCAGCCUCCCAAAGUGCUGGGAUUACAGGUGUGAGUCACCACACCCAGCCUCCAUAUACAUUUUAGAAUGUCUUUCCAUAUAUAUAUUUCAGCCUGUCAAUUUAUUUAAAAAAAAAACCUGCUGGGAUUUUCAUUGGGAUUACACUGAAUUCAUAGAUGAGUUUGAGGAGAGAUGACAUUUUAAGAAAAUUGGGUCUUCCAAUUCGUAACCAAAGUUUAGUCUUUGAUUUCUUUAAUCAGUGAUUUGUAGUUUUCAGCAUAAAGAUUCCACACAAAACAUAAUUUUUUUAGACUUAUGCCUGAGUAUUACAUAUUUUGGUAAUAUUGUAAAUGGUGCUUAAAAUUUUUAAAAAUUUCUGAUUGGUUAUUGCUAGUACCUAAAAAUACAAUCGAUUUCUUUUGUAUUGACUGUAUAUUUUCUGUGAAAUUGCUAAAUUCAUUUCUAGUAACUCGUAUUUUCCUUGGACUUUUCUACAUAGAAAAGCGUGUUAUCUGUGACUAGAAACAGUUUUAUUUCACUUUUCCCACUAAUGUGCCUUUCAUGUCUUUUCCUUGCCUGAUUGCACUUUCCAGGCCCUCAAGUAUAAAGAUGAGAAGGAAGGACAGCGAACGUCCCCAUCUUGCUCUCAAUCUUAAGGGAAAAGCUUUCAGUCUUUGACCAUUAUAUAUGGAUGUUACCUGCAGGUCCAUUUCACUUCAGUUGUCAAAUUUAUGUCUGUAGGGUUAUUUAUAGCACUCUUUCAUUAUCCUUUUGAUGCGUGCAGGGUCUUUAGUUAUAUCCCUUACUUCAUUCCUGAUACCAGUAAUUUGCGUCUUCUCUCUUUUUCUUUGUCAGUCUUGAUAGAGGACUGUCAAUUUUACUGAUGUUUUGGAAGAAUUGGCUUUUUGUUUUAUUGAUUUUCUCUAUUGUUUUUGUUUUCAAUUUCACUGAUUUCUGCUCCUAUCUUUAUUAUUUCAUUCUUCUGUUAAAACUGUGUUUAUUGUUUAUUUUGUGUUUUUAGGUGCUUAAAGUGGGAAAUUAGAUGAUUAAUUUGAGACUUUCCCUCCUUUUUAAUGUAAGUAUUUAGUGCUAUACAUUCUCCUUUCAACACUGCUUUAUCUCUAUCUCACAAGUUUUGAUAUGUUGUAUUUUCAUUUUCAAAGCAUUUUAAAAUUUCCCUUGAGAUUUCUUCUGUGAUGCAUGAAUUAUUUAGAAGUUUGUUGUUUAAUUUCCAAGUGUUUGGAUGUUUUUUAGUUAUAUUUCUUUUAUUGAUUUCUAUUUGAUUCCAUUGUGGUCAGAUAACACACUCUGUAUGAUUUAAAUUAUUUUAAAUUUGUUUAGGUUUUUGUUUUGUUUUGUUUUGUUUUGUUUGUUUUUUGUUUUUGAGACAGAGUCUUGCUCUGUUACCAGGCUGGAGUGCAGUGUGGUGUGAUCUUGGCUCACUGCCACCUCCACCUCCUGGGUUCAAGCGAUUCCCCUGCCUCAGCCUCCCGAGUAGCUGGGACUACAGGUGCACGCCACCAUGCCCAGCUAAUUUUUUGUAUUUUAGUAGAGACGAGGUUUCACCAUGUUGGCCAGGAUGGUCUCGAUUUCCUGACCUCGUGAUCUGCCUGCCUCGACCUCCCAAAGUGCUGGGAUUACAGGCAUGAGCCCCGUGCCCAGCCUGUUAGGUUUGUUUUAUGGUCCAGGACACGGUCUAACUUGGUAUACUUUCCAGGGACACUUGAAAAUAAUGUGUAUUCUCUGCUGGUGGGAAUGUAAACUAGUACAACCACUAUGGAAAACAGUGUGGAGAUUCCUUAAAGAACUAAAAGUAGAAUUACCAUUCGAUCCAGCAAUCCAACUACUGGGUAUCUACCCAGAGGAAAAGGAGUCAUUAUACGAAAAAGACACUUGCACACACAUGUUUAUAGCAGCACAAUUCACAAUUGCAAAAACCUGGAACCAACCCAAAUGGCCGUCGAUCAGCAAGAGGUUAGAGAAACUGUGGUGUGUGUAUAUAUAUAUAUAUAUAUAUAUAUAUAUAUAUAUAUAUAUAUAUAUAUAUAUGAUGGAAUACUACUUAACUGUAAACAGUAAUGAGUUAAUGGCAUUCACAGCAACCUGGAUGAGACUGGAGACUAUUAUGAAGUAACUCAGAAAUGGAAAACCAAACAUUGUAUGUUCUCACUUGUAAGUGGGAGCUAAGCUUAUGAGGAUGCAAAGGCAUAAGAAUGACACAAUGAACUUUGGGGACUCAGGGGGAAAGCGUGGCAAGGGAGUGAAGGAUAAAAGACUACAAAUAGAGAGCAGUGUAUACUGCUUAGGUGAUAGAUGCACCAAAAUCUCACAAAUCACAGCUAAAGAACUUACUCAUGUAACCAAACAUCACCUGUUCACCAAUAACCUAUGGAAAAAAAUGCGUGACAUAAAAAGAAAAUAAUGUGUAUUCUGCUGUUAUUGGGUUGUUGGGUGAAGUGUUCUAAAAAUGUCAAUUGGAUCUUAUUGGCUGAUGGUGUUGUUGAAUUCUAUAUCCUGUUGAUUUGCUGUCUAGUUGUUCUAUCAAUUAUUAAAAGAGGAAUGUUAAUGUUUCCAACUAUAAUUGUGGAUUUAUUUAUUUUUUAUUUCAGUUCUGUCAGUUUUUGCCUUAUGUAUUUUUCAGGUCUGUGGUCUGCACAUACAUAUUUAGGACUGCUGUGUCUUUUUAGUGGAUUGACCCUUUUAUUACUAUGUAAUGUCCCUGUCUGUGUUUGGUCAUUAUCUUUGCUCUGAAAUAUACUGUAU